UACGUAGGGUGCGAGCGUUGUCCGGAAUUACUGGGCGUAAAGAGCUCGUAGGUGGUUUGUCGCGUUGUUCGUGAAAACUCACAACUCAAUUGUGGGCGUGCGGGCGAUACGGGCAGACUGGAGUACUGCAGGGGAGACUGGAAUUCCUGGUGUAGCGGUGGAAUGCGCAGAUAUCAGGAGGAACACCGGUGGCGAAGGCGGGUCUCUGGGCAAUAACUGACGCUGAGGAGCGAAAGCGUGGGGAGCGAACAGG
RNAcentral lists this ribosomal RNA (253 nucleotides) under uncultured bacterium. Its description in RNAcentral is "partial 16S ribosomal RNA". It matches the Rfam family "Bacterial small subunit ribosomal RNA", at positions 524 to 776 of the family's 1533-position model. The record is from RNAcentral.